RNAcentral lists this ribosomal RNA (1355 nucleotides) under Pleistophora sp. PA. RNAcentral's name for it is "Microsporidia small subunit ribosomal RNA". It matches the Rfam family "Microsporidia small subunit ribosomal RNA". Lineage: Eukaryota; Fungi; Microsporidia; Pleistophoridae. The record is from Rfam by way of RNAcentral.
CACCAGGUUGAUUCUGCCUGACGUGGAUGCUAGUCUCAUAGGUUAAGCCAUGCAUGUGCAAGCGAAGCGUAAGUGGAGCGGCGUAAGGCUCAGUAACGGGCAGGUAUUUGAUCUCCUUGAGUGGACAUCCUCUGUAAGCGGAGGGCAAAACACGAUACCGGCAGCAGAAGUGUUGAUGGUAGAACGGAAGUGGAGGAGAGUAAGCAGCCAUCCCAUCAGUUAGUAAGUAGGGUAAGGGCCUACUUAGACGUAGACGGGUACGGGGAAUUAGAGUUUGAUUCCGGAGAGGGAGCCUGAGAGACGGCUACCGGGUCCAAGGACAGCAGCAGGCGCGAAAAUUACCGAAGCCUCCGGUGAGGGCGGUAGUAAGGAGACGUGAAAACGAGGCGCGGAUAAAAGAAGCGCUAGUAACAGGAGGGCAAGACUGGUGCCAGCAGCCGCGGUAAUACCAGCUCCUGGAGUAUCGAUGGUGAUUGCUGCAGUUAAAGAGUUCGUAGUCAGAGCGGGUAUUCGAGCGCAACAGGUCGCCACUCAAGGGGGGCACGACGUGCGAACGCCGCGGAAUAAGGAGCGUCUAGGGGCCGCGUUAUUAAGCGACGAGGGGUGAAAUCUGGUGACUCGCUUAGGAGCAACAGAGGCGAAAGCGGCGGCCAGGGGCGAAUCCGAUGAUAAAGGACGUAGGCUAGAGGAUCGAAGACGAUUAGAGACCGUUGUAGUUCUAGCAGUAAACGAUGCCGAUGCCGUGGCGCGGAAACGCGACGCGGAAGAGAAAUCGAGUAGGGCCCUGGGGAGAGUACGCGCGCAAGCGAGAAAUUUAAAGGAAAUUGACGGAAGAACACCACAAGGAGUGGAGUGUGCGGCUUAAUUUGACUCAACGCGGGACAGCUUACCAGGCCCGACGGCCGCAGGAGUGUUGUACACGAUAGGCCGGAGAGUGGUGCAUGGCCGUUAACGACGAGUGGGGUGACCUUAGGGUUAAGUCCGGGAAGUAGUGAGACCCCUGCGAUAGUAGGACAGGUGCGCAAAGCACAGGAAGGAAGGGUCAAGAACAGGUCAGUGAUGCCCUUAGAUGGUCUGGGCGGCACGCGCACUACAGUGGUCACGGAAAUGGAGAAGAAAGAAGAAAAAGUGAUCGAGAGGGAACGAGGUCUGGAAGGGGCUCGGGAACGAGGAAUUGCUAGUAAUCGCGGACUCAUUAAGACGCGAUGAAUACGUCCCUGUUCUUUGUACACACCGCCCGUCGUUAUCGAAGAUGGAGUCAGGCGCGAACAAGCGAGAGCGAGUAAGUGCAGGAUUCUAGAUGUGAUACAAGUCGUAACAAGGUAGCUGUAGGAGAACCAGUAGCAGGAUCAUAA